GGGUUAGUCCGUACGACCGAACCCUUGUCCCUAUUUGCCAGCGAUUCGGUCGGGAACUCUAGGGAGACUGCCGGUGACAAACCGGAGGAAGGUGGGGACGACGUCAAGUCAUCAUGGCCCUUACGGGUAGGGCUACACACGUGCUACAAUGGCCGGUACAAUGGGUUGCGAAUCCGCGAGGUGGAGCUAAUCCCAUAAAGCCGGUCUCAGUCCGGAUCGGAGUCUGCAACUCGACUCCGUGAAGUCGGAAUCGCUAGUAAUCGUGAAUCAGAAUGUCACGGUGAAUACGUUCCCGGGCCUUGUACACACCGCCCGUCACACCAUGGGAGUGGACUGCACCAGAAGUGGUUAGCCUAACUUCGGAGGGCGAUCACCACGGUGUGGUUCAUGACUGGGGUGAAGUCGUAACAAGGGUA
RNAcentral lists this ribosomal RNA (416 nucleotides) under gamma proteobacterium Dell 2. RNAcentral describes it as "bacterial SSU rRNA". It matches the Rfam family "Bacterial small subunit ribosomal RNA", at positions 1078 to 1499 of the family's 1533-position model. The record is from RNAcentral. Lineage: Bacteria; Pseudomonadati; Pseudomonadota; Gammaproteobacteria.